AUGCCUAGAUCCUGUGUAAAUGGAAAUUUCAUUGAUAAGACCUCCUCAAUUGUAGCCAAUAUUUUAUUGCGAAUAAUUCCGACAACCUCAGGAGAAAAAAGGUUUACUUAUUAUAGAGAUGGGAUGUUGGCUCAAUCCGAAGGAAAUUAUGCGGAAGCUUUGCAAAAUUAUUAUGAAGCUACACGACUAGAAAUCGAUCCCUAUGAUCAAAUUUAUGUACUCUAUAACAUAGGCUUUAUACACACAAGCAAUGGAGAGCAUAUAAAGGCUUUGGAAUAUUAUUUACGGGCAAUAGAACGGGACCCCUUCUUACCGCUAGCUAUUAAUAAUAUGGCCGUGAUCUGUCAUUACGGAGAAUAG
RNAcentral lists this ribosomal RNA (360 nucleotides) under Triticum aestivum (bread wheat). Its description in RNAcentral is "partial small subunit ribosomal RNA". The record is from RNAcentral. Lineage: Eukaryota; Viridiplantae; Streptophyta; Magnoliopsida; Poales; Poaceae.